RNAcentral lists this ribosomal RNA (497 nucleotides) under uncultured bacterium. Its description in RNAcentral is "partial 16S ribosomal RNA". It matches the Rfam family "Bacterial small subunit ribosomal RNA", at positions 28 to 507 of the family's 1533-position model. The record is from RNAcentral.
GAUGAACGCUGGCGGCGUGCCUAAUACAUGCAAGUCGAGCGAACGGACGAGAAGCUUGCUUCUCUGAUGUUAGCGGCGGACGGGUGAGUAACACGUGGAUAACCUACCUAUAAGACUGGGAUAACUUCGGGAAACCGGAGCUAAUACCGGAUAAUAUUUUGAACCGCAUGGUUCAAAAGUGAAAGACGGUCUUGCUGCCACUUAUAGAUGGAUCCGCGCUGCAUUAGCUAGUUGGUAAGGUAACGGCUUACCAAGGCAACGAUGCAUAGCCGACCUGAGAGGGUGAUCGGCCACACUGGAACUGAGACACGGCCCAGACUCCUACGGGAGGCAGCAGUAGGGAAUCUUCCGCAAUGGGCGAAAGCCUGACGGAGCAACGCCGCGCGAGUGAUGAAGGUCUUCGGAUCGUAAAACUCUGUUAUUAGGGAAGAACAUAUGUGUAAGUAACUGUGCACAUCUUGACGGUACCUAAUCAGAAAGCCACGGCUAACUACGUG